GUAGGGAAUAUUGGUCAAUGGACGAAAGUCUGAACCAGCCAUUCCGCGUGCAGGAAGAAGAUUCUAUGGAUUGUAAACUGCUUUUAGCAGAGAAGAAACGCCUUCAUUGAUGAGGGUUUGACGGUAUCUGCGGAAUAAGCACCGGCUAACUCCGUGCCAGCAGCCGCGGUAAUACGGGGGGUGCAAGCGUUAUCCGGAAUCACUGGGUUUAAAGGGUGCGUAGGCGGGAAAUUAAGUCAGUGGUGAAAGUCUGUUGCUUAACGAUAGAAUUGCCGUGGAUACUGAUUUUCUUGAAUUGGGUUGAGGUUAGCGGAAUGUGACAUGUAGCGGUGAAAUGCAUAGAUAUGUCAUGGAACACCAAUUGCGAAGGCAGCUAGCUGGGCCUUGAUUGACGCUGAGGCACGAAAGCGUGGGUAGCGAACAGGAUUAGAUACCCCUGUAGUCC
RNAcentral lists this ribosomal RNA (445 nucleotides) under uncultured bacterium. Its description in RNAcentral is "partial 16S ribosomal RNA". It matches the Rfam family "Bacterial small subunit ribosomal RNA", at positions 354 to 796 of the family's 1533-position model. The record is from RNAcentral.